UAGGGAAUCUUCCGCAAUGGACGCAAGUCUGACGGAGCAACGCCGCGUGAGUGAAGAAGGAUUUCGGUUCGUAAAACUCUGUUGUUAGAGAAGAACAGCGCAUAGAGUAACUGUUAUGCGUGUGACGGUAUCUAACCAGAAAGCCACGGCUAACUACGUGCCAGCAGCCGCGGUAAUACGUAGGUGGCAAGCGUUGUCCGGAUUUAUUGGGCGUAAAGCGAGCGCAGGCGGUCAAUUAAGUCUGAUGUGAAAGCCCCCGGCUCAACCGGGGAGGGGCAUUGGGAUCUGGUUGACUUGAGUGCAGAAGAGGAGAGUGGAAUUCCAUGGAUAGCGGUGAAAUGCGUAGAUAUAUGGAGGAACGCCAGUGGCGAAGGCGACUCUCUGGUCUGUAACUGACGCUGAGGCUCGAAAGCGUGGGUAGCAAACAGG
RNAcentral lists this ribosomal RNA (429 nucleotides) under Bacteroidota bacterium. RNAcentral's name for it is "Bacteroidetes bacterium partial 16S ribosomal RNA". It matches the Rfam family "Bacterial small subunit ribosomal RNA", at positions 355 to 776 of the family's 1533-position model. Lineage: Bacteria; Pseudomonadati; Bacteroidota. The record is from RNAcentral.